GAUCCUACGGGGGGCAGCAGUGGGGAAUAUUGCACAAUGGGGGAAACCCUGAUGCAGCGACGCCGCGUGAGUGAAGAAGUAUUUCGGUAUGUAAAGCUCUAUCAGCAGGGAAGAAAAAAGACGGUACCUGACUAAGAAGCCCCGGCUAACUACGUGCCAGCAGCCGCGGUAAUACGUAGGGGGCAAGCGUUAUCCGGAUUUACUGGGUGUAAAGGGAGCGUAGACGGCUGUGCAAGUCUGAAGUGAAAGCCCAGGGCUCAACCCUGGGACUGCUUUGGAAACUGUGGAG
RNAcentral lists this ribosomal RNA (289 nucleotides) under uncultured bacterium. RNAcentral's name for it is "partial 16S ribosomal RNA". It matches the Rfam family "Bacterial small subunit ribosomal RNA", at positions 335 to 640 of the family's 1533-position model. The record is from RNAcentral.